Molecule: ribosomal RNA, 661 nt
Filed under: uncultured bacterium
Lineage: Bacteria
Description: bacterial SSU rRNA
Rfam family: Bacterial small subunit ribosomal RNA
Source: RNAcentral
AGUGGCGGACGGGUGAGUAACGCGUGAGCCAUCUGCCUUGGGGUCGGGGACAACCACUGGAAACGGUGGCUAAUACCGGAUAAGCCGAUUGGUGAAAGAUUUAUUGCCCGAAGAGGAGCUCGCGUCUGAUUAGCUAGUUGGUGAGGUAAGAGCUCACCAAGGCAGCGAUCAGUAGCGGGUCUGAGAGGACGAUCAGCCACACUGGGACUGAGACACGGCCCAGACUCCUACGGGAGGCAGCAGUGGGGAAUUUUCCGCAAUGGGCGAAAGCCUGACGGAGCAAGACCGCGUGAGGGAGGAAGGCUCUUGGGUUGUAAACCUCUUUUCUCAGGGAAGAAGCUCUGACGGUACCUGAGGAAUCAGCCUCGGCUAACUCCGUGCCAGCAGCCGCGGUAAUACGGAGGAGGCAAGCGUUAUCCGGAAUUAUUGGGCGUAAAGCGUCCGCAGGUGGCGAUUCAAGUCUGCUGUCAAAGCACGGGGCUUAACUCCGUAAAGGCAGUGGAAACUGAAUAGCUAGAGUGCCGUAGGGGUAGAGGGAAUUCCCGGUGUAGCGGUGAAAUGCGUAGAGAUCGGGAAGAACAUCGGUGGCGAAAGCGCUCUACUGGACGGCAACUGACACUCAGGGACGAAAGCUAGGGGAGCGAAUGGGAUUAGAUACCCC